CCACGCUGUAAACUAUGAUUACUCAGAGUAUGCGAUAUAAUGUAUGCUCUCAAGCGAAAGCAUUAAGUAAUCCACCUGGGGAGUACGUCGGCAACGAUGAAACUCAAAGGAAUUGACGGGGGCCCGCACAAGCGGAGGAACAUGUGGUUUAAUUCGAUGAUACGCGAGGAACCUUACCCGGGAUUGAAAUGUAUAUGCUGACAGGUAGAAAUACUUGUUGUUCCCUUCGGGGACAUAUAUGUAGGUGCUGCAUGGUUGU
RNAcentral lists this ribosomal RNA (259 nucleotides) under uncultured bacterium. Its description in RNAcentral is "partial 16S ribosomal RNA". It matches the Rfam family "Bacterial small subunit ribosomal RNA", at positions 795 to 1052 of the family's 1533-position model. The record is from RNAcentral.